Molecule: ribosomal RNA, 468 nt
Filed under: uncultured bacterium
Lineage: Bacteria
Description: partial 16S ribosomal RNA
Rfam family: Bacterial small subunit ribosomal RNA
Source: RNAcentral
GACGAACGCUGGCGGCGUGCUUAACACAUGCAAGUCGAACGGAAAGGCCCUGCUUUUGUGGGGUGCUCGAGUGGCGAACGGGUGAGUAACACGUGAGUAACCUGCCCUUGACUUUGGGAUAACUUCAGGAAACUGGGGCUAAUACCGGAUAGGAGCUCCUGCUGCAUGGUGGGGGUUGGAAAGUUUCGGCGGUUGGGGAUGGACUCGCGGCUUAUCAGCUUGUUGGUGGGGUAGUGGUUUACCAAGGCUUUGACGGGUAGCCGGCCUGAGAGGGGGACCGGCAACAUUGGGACUGAGAUACGGCCCAGACUCCUACGGGAGGCAGCAGUGGGGAAUAUUGCACAAUGGGCGGAAGCCUGAUGCAGCAACGCCGCGUGCGGGAUGACGGCCUUCGGGUUGUAAACCGCUUUCGCCUGUGACGAAGCGUGAGUGACGGUAAUGGGUAAAGAAGCACCGGCUAACUACGUG